Molecule: ribosomal RNA, 696 nt
Filed under: uncultured bacterium
Lineage: Bacteria
Description: bacterial SSU rRNA
Rfam family: Bacterial small subunit ribosomal RNA
Source: RNAcentral
UAACGCGUGAGUAACCUGCCUUUCAGAGGGGGAUAACAUUCUGAAAAGGAUGCUAAUACCGCAUAACAUCUUAGUAUCGCAUGGUAUUGAGAUCAAAGGAGCAAUCCGCUGGAAGAUGGACUCGCGUCCGAUUAGCUAGUUGGCGGGAUAAAGGCCCACCAAGGCGACGAUCGGUAGCCGGACUGAGAGGUUGAACGGCCACAUUGGGACUGAGACACGGCCCAGACUCCUACGGGAGGCAGCAGUGGGGGAUAUUGCACAAUGGGGGAAACCCUGAUGCAGCAACGCCGCGUGAAGGAUGAAGGUUUUCGGAUUGUAAACUUCUGUUCUUAGUGACGAUAAUGACGGCAGCUAAGAAGAAAGCUCCGGCUAACUACGUGCCAGCAGCCGCGGUAAUACGUAGGGAGCGAGCGUUGUCCGGAUUUACUGGGUGUAAAGGGUGCGUAGGCGGCAGAGCAAGUCAGGCGUGAAAGCCAUGGGCUUAACCCAUGAACUGCGCUUGAAACUGUUUUGCUUGAGUGAAGUAGAGGCAGGCGGAAUUCCCGGUGUAGCGGUGAAAUGCGUAGAGAUCGGGAGGAACACCAGUGGCGAAGGCGGCCUGCUGGGCUUUAACUGACGCUGAGGCACGAAAGCAUGGGUAGCAAACAGGAUUAGAUACCCUGGUAGUCCAUGCCGUAAACGAUGAUUACUAGGUGU